AGUGAACGCUGGCGGUAGGCCUAACACAUGCAAGUCGAACGGCAGCACAGUAAGAGCUUGCUCUUACGGGUGGCGAGUGGCGGACGGGUGAGGAAUACAUCGGAAUCUACUUUUUCGUGGGGGAUAACGUAGGGAAACUUACGCUAAUACCGCAUACGACCUACGGGUGAAAGCAGGGGAUCUUCGGACCUUGCGCGAUUCAAUGAGCCGAUGUCGGAUUAGCUAGUUGGCGGGGUAAAGGCCCACCAAGGCGACGAUCCGUAGCUUGUCUGAGAGGAUGAUCAGCCACACUGGAACUGAGACACGGUCCAGACUCCUACGGGAGGCAGCAGUGGGGAAUAUUGGACAAUGGGCGCAAGCCUGAUCCAGCCAUACCGCGUGGGUGAAGAAGGCCUUCGGGUUGUAAAGCCCUUUUGUUGGGAAAGAAAAGCAGCAGGUUAAUCCCCCGCUGUUCUGACGGUACCCAAAGAAUAAGCACCGGCUAACUUCGUG
RNAcentral lists this ribosomal RNA (492 nucleotides) under uncultured bacterium. Its description in RNAcentral is "partial 16S ribosomal RNA". It matches the Rfam family "Bacterial small subunit ribosomal RNA", at positions 29 to 507 of the family's 1533-position model. The record is from RNAcentral.